Molecule: ribosomal RNA, 279 nt
Filed under: uncultured bacterium
Lineage: Bacteria
Description: partial 16S ribosomal RNA
Rfam family: Bacterial small subunit ribosomal RNA
Source: RNAcentral
UGCCAGCAGCCGCGGUAAUACGAAGGGUGCAAGCGUUGUUCGGAUUUAUUGGGCGUAAAGCGCGCGCAGGCGGAUUUGUAAGUCAGAUGUGAAAUCUCGGGGCUCAACCCCGAAACUGCGUCUGAAACUGGCGAACUUGAGUACGGGAGAGGAAAGUGGAAUUCCGAGUGUAGGGGUGAAAUCCGUAGAUAUUCGGAGGAACACCAGUGGCGAAGGCGGCUUUCUGGACCGAUACUGACGCUGAGACGCGAAAGCGUGGGGAGCAAACAGGAUUAGAUA